Molecule: ribosomal RNA, 353 nt
Filed under: uncultured bacterium
Lineage: Bacteria
Description: partial 16S ribosomal RNA
Rfam family: Bacterial small subunit ribosomal RNA
Source: RNAcentral
CCUACGUGUGGCAGCAGUAGGGAAUCUUCCACAAUGGGCGAAAGCCUGAUGGAGCAACGCCGCGUGGGUGAAGAAGGUCUUCGGAUCGUAAAACCCUGUUGUUAGAGAAGCAAGUGCGUGAGAGUAACUGUUCACGUUUCGACGGUAUCUAACCAGAAAGCCACGGCUUACUACGUGCCAGCAGCCGCGGGAAUACGUAGGUGGCAAGCGUUAUCCGGAUUUAUUGGGCGUAAAGGGAACGCAGGCGGUCUUUUAUGUCUGAUGUGAAAGCCUUCGGCUUAACCGUUGUAGUUGAGUGGAAACUGGGAGACUUGAGUACAGAAGAGGAGAGUGGAAUUCCAGGUGGAGCGGUG